Molecule: long non-coding RNA, 380 nt
Filed under: Manacus vitellinus (golden-collared manakin)
Lineage: Eukaryota; Metazoa; Chordata; Aves; Passeriformes; Pipridae
Description: lncRNA (ENSMVIG00005015772.1)
Source: RNAcentral
CCACCACCUUUCCACAGCUUGUUCAUUUUUAACUGAGGCUUCUUUAUACACACCAGGUGUGGUCUUCACUUUUAUCAUCUCGUUAUUGUGAAGUCUGUGAUCUGCUCCAGGGAUUAAUUAGAGCUGGGGCCCAUCUUUAGCUGGACUUGCCAAGCCCUCUUCCCUUAUAAUUAAAAGUUCCAGUAGCUGCAAGUAGGCAUCUAGGAGAACAAGUUUUGCACACUUUUCUGAGAUACUCACGUGAUCUCCAGGCCACUUUGCCAUAUCUGAAGAUAUACCUGGCUUGAAAUCAGAGACUUUUCCAAAUGACAUAGGAAAACAACAUUCAAACCAAGGCAUGGAAGUGGAAUGCAAGCUACAAGCCAGAGCACUAUAAAAUA